UACGAAGGGGGCUAGCGUUGCUCGGAAUCACUGGGCGUAAAGCGUGCGCAGGCGGUCUGUUAAGAGAGGUGUGAAAUCCCCGGGCUUAACCUGGGAACUGCGCUUCUAACUGGCAGGCUGGAGUGUGGCAGAGGGGGGUGGAAUUCCACGUGUAGCAGUGAAAUGCGUAGAGAUGUGGAGGAACACCGAUGGCGAAGGCAGCCCCCUGGGCUAACACUGACGCUCAUGCACGAAAGCGUGGGGAGCAAACAG
RNAcentral lists this ribosomal RNA (252 nucleotides) under uncultured bacterium. RNAcentral describes it as "partial 16S ribosomal RNA". It matches the Rfam family "Bacterial small subunit ribosomal RNA", at positions 524 to 775 of the family's 1533-position model. The record is from RNAcentral.